UACGUAGGCAGCGAGCGUUGUUCGGAGUUACUGGGCGUAAAGCGUGCGUAGGCGGUGUCUUAAGUUUGUUGUGAAAUCUCCCGGCUUAACCGGGGGGGUGCGGCGAAUACUGAGAUGCUGGAGUGCCGGAGAGGUAAGCGGAAUUCCUGGUGUAGCGGUGAAAUGCGUAGAUAUCGAGAGGAACACCUGCGGCGAAGGCGGGUUGCUGGGCCGACACUGACGCUGAUGCGCGAAAGCCAGGGGAGCGAACGGG
Molecule: ribosomal RNA, 253 nt
Filed under: uncultured bacterium
Lineage: Bacteria
Description: partial 16S ribosomal RNA
Rfam family: Bacterial small subunit ribosomal RNA
Source: RNAcentral